CACUCCUGCGGGAGGCAGCAGUGGGGAAUUUUGGACAAUGGGCGAAAGCCUGAUCCAGCAAUGCCGCGUGAGUGAAGAAGGCCUUCGGGUUGUAAAGCUCUUUUGUCAGGGAAGAAACGGUGAAAGCUAAUAUCUUUUGCUAAUGACGGUACCUGAAGAAUAAGCACCGGCUAACUACGUGCCAGCAGCCGCGGUAAUACGUAGGGUGCAAGCGUUAAUCGGAAUUACUGGGCGUAAAGCGUGCGCAGGCGGUUUUGUAAGUCUGAUGUGAAAUCCCCGGGCUCAACCUGGGAAUUGCAUUGGAGACUGCAAGGCUAGAAUCUGGCAGAGGGGGGUAGAAUUCCACGUGUAGCAGUGAAAUGCGUAGAUAUGUGGAGGAACACCGAUGGCGAAGGCAGCCCCCUGGGUCAAGAUUGACGCUCAUGCACGAAAGCGUGGGGAGCAAACAGGAUUAGAUACCCUUGUAGUCCCAU
RNAcentral lists this ribosomal RNA (473 nucleotides) under uncultured organism. RNAcentral's name for it is "partial 16S ribosomal RNA". It matches the Rfam family "Bacterial small subunit ribosomal RNA", at positions 334 to 798 of the family's 1533-position model. The record is from RNAcentral.